CCCAGACUCCUACGGGAGGCAGCAGUGGGGAAUCUUCCGCAAUGGGCGCAAGCCUGACGGAGCAAUGCCGCGUGAACGAAGAAGGUCUUCGGAUUGUAAAGUUCUGUCCUUAUCGAAGAGAGGGUAUAGAGUGAAAAAUGAUAUACUAGGACGGUAGAUGAGGAGGAAGCCCCGGCUAACUACGUGCCAGCAGCCGCGGUAAUACGUAGGGGGCAAGCGUUAUCCGGAUUUACUGGGUGUAAAGGGAGCGUAGACGGCAUGGCAAGUCAGAUGUGAAAGCCCGGGGCUCAACCCCGGGACUGCAUUUGAAACUGUCAGGCUGGAGUGCAGGAGAGGUAAGUGGAAUUCCUAGUGUAGCGGUGAAAUGCGUAGAUAUUAGGAGGAACACCAGUGGCGAAGGCGGCUUACUGGACUGUAACUGACGUUGAGGCUCGAAAGCGUGGGGAGCAAACAGGAUUAGAUACCCUGGUA
Molecule: ribosomal RNA, 471 nt
Filed under: uncultured bacterium
Lineage: Bacteria
Description: bacterial SSU rRNA
Rfam family: Bacterial small subunit ribosomal RNA
Source: RNAcentral